GCCUUUGUGGUGUAGUGGUCAGCACGCUCGACGCGUAUUCGAGAGGUCCGUGGUUCGAAUCCCGGUGAGGGCA
RNAcentral lists this transfer RNA (73 nucleotides) under Stegodyphus mimosarum. It matches the Rfam family "tRNA". Rfam says of the family: Transfer RNA (tRNA) molecules are approximately 80 nucleotides in length. Their secondary structure includes four short double-helical elements and three loops (D, anti-codon, and T loops). Further hydrogen bonds mediate the characteristic L-shaped molecular structure. tRNAs have two regions of fundamental functional importance: the anti-codon, which is responsible for specific mRNA codon recognition, and the 3' end, to which the tRNAs corresponding amino acid is attached (by aminoacyl-tRNA synthetases). tRNAs cope with the degeneracy of the genetic code in two manners: having more than one tRNA (with a specific anti-codon) for a particular amino acid; and 'wobble' base-pairing, i.e. permitting non-standard base-pairing at the 3rd anti-codon position. The record is from Rfam by way of RNAcentral. Lineage: Eukaryota; Metazoa; Arthropoda; Arachnida; Araneae; Eresidae.